CCAAGCAAAAUGGCAGCCAAAGCACCAGACUAUCAACCAGCGGAGAGGUGCAGACACUCCACUGUACGGGUAGGAGACUACCUGUACAUGUGGGGUGGGUACCAGCCUGAUCUCCCUAAAGUGCAUAAUAAUGAAAAGAAGAAAUCAAUGUGUUCUGUGAUGGAGGUGUGUCACCUAAGGACUGGUAAGUGGGAGCAGAAACCCUCCACUGGGUGCUGAUGGCUAUGCAGCUGCUGCCAUUGGAAGGGAAAUAUUUUAUUUUGGAGGCUAUUGCAAUCGUUAUGACUGUUGUCAUAAUAAUUUAUACAGUUUUAAUGUUGAUACCUUCAAUUGGAAGGAACUCUCUCCUACUACAUCUCGCAGUCAUGGUCCUAGGACGAAGCGCUACUGUGACAUGAUAGCAAUAAAAGUGAACGGGGAGGACUAUCUUGUAGUAAUUGGAGGAGCUGGAUUAUUGCCUAAUAGUGCCCCCAAACAACCUGGUGCCCAGUACAGUAGCGAAGAAUUAUUUUCUGGUUAUCACCGGUGCAAUGAGAUCCAUUUCUAUAAACUCUCAACAGGUCAGAGCACAUACAGUUUAUAUUAAUAUAAUGAAGUAUUGUUAUUUGGUGGUUCUCCACUCAGACUGGUUGCAUUGAGAAUUGCUUGCUUGUUUGUUCAUGGUUGUCACUCCUAAUUAUUUG
Molecule: long non-coding RNA, 683 nt
Organism: Amphimedon queenslandica
Lineage: Eukaryota; Metazoa; Porifera; Demospongiae; Haplosclerida; Niphatidae
Exons: 3
Source: RefSeq, a predicted model, not a curated record